Molecule: long non-coding RNA, 2017 nt
Filed under: Gadus morhua (Atlantic cod)
Lineage: Eukaryota; Metazoa; Chordata; Actinopteri; Gadiformes; Gadidae
Description: lncRNA (ENSGMOG00000030027.1)
Source: RNAcentral
GGUGGACUUGCUGCUCAGACUAGCGGGUCUGAAGUGACGUGCCAGACAAGGCAUGUUCUUCGACAACAGAUUCCUGAAGUGACUCUGAAACCGCUUACCCACAAAGGAGUAGAACAUGGGGCUGAUGCAACAAUACAAGAACGCUAUGUUUCUGGUCACGUACAACGCAUAGUUCAACGCCUCGACCUGAUCGCACUUCCGGUUUGCUUCGUCGGCUGUGGAGAUCUGAAUGCACAUCGGGUUUGCUUCGUCGGCUGUGGAGAUCUGAAUGGCCUUCAGCAGGAUCACGAUGUUAUAGGGAGUCCAGCAAACGAAGAAGGUGAACAUGAUGAUGAAUAUCAGCUUCACCGAGCGCCAUUUCUCCCUCAUGCGAGUGGACAUGAUCCGCACGGUGAUGCAGGUGUAGCAGUACAUAACCAUGGAGAGGGGCAGCAGGAAGAAGAGGAGGAACCGCAUGUAGUAGCUGACCAGAUUCCACUGUUUGACGAUGUCGGUGUGGUAUCCUGUCUCCUCACACAUCAGGCCCUGCUCGCUGUCCUCCCACACGCCUUUGAACACCAGCUCAUUGAGACUGGCCAGCACACUGAUGAACCAAACGAUCAACGACGCCCCGAUGGCGUACGCCCUCUUCCUGCUCUUGGCAGCGGACACCGCGUGCACCACGGCCAGGUAGCGGUCAAAGGUCAUCAGGGUGAGGAAGAGGAUGGAACUGUAGAAACCAAUCAGAUGGGCACUGCUGACCAACUUGCAAAGCACCGUGCCGAAGAUCCACUCUGAGGAAUGGUAUUUGGCCAGGAAGGGGAAGCUGGAUGCAAACAGGAUGUUGGAGGUGACCAGAUUGAGGAGGAAGAUGUUGGUGACGCUGUUGACCUUCUCAAGCUUGACGAUGAUGAACAAAACAAGCCAGUUGCCUAAGUAACUCAGGAGGAAGUUGAUGUAGUAGAAAUAAGGAAUGAUGGCUGAGCCAAAUUGGUUGACGUGAGAUGUAGAGCAGUGUUGGACGAGCACGUCCUCCACGUAAGAUGCAUAGCUUGUGUUUUCGCUAUUGUUAAACAUUUCCAAGUAUUUUUCAUCGUCAUAUUCAUAAUUCUGCUCAUCCCCCAUGGUUAUUGCUUAAACCUGUGGUAAAUAGAAAAACAUAUUAAUACGUCUCAUAUGAUUGAAUGCUAUGAUAAUCGAUAUGCAUUUGAGACGGAAGGCUGUGCCAAUCAAGCAUUAGCUGCUCUGAAGUGGAGCUUCAAAUGACAACACAAUUAAAACACUUUUAUGCUUAAAAGAACUGGAUCAAAUAUUGUUGAAAGUUGAAGGAACAAAAGGGAUAAAAACACUUGACAAGCAAUCAAUAUGUCAUAAUAUAUUAUUAUAAUAAUAAUAAUAAUAGUAUAAUAUUUCUAAUAUAAUAUGAGAAAUAUUUAAUAUAUUAUUAUAUAAUAAGCAAGACAAUAGCUGAGAGCUGAAAGAUGACACUGUACAAAUUAAUGUAGGAUAUUUUCUAUGCCCAAAUCAUGUUUCUUACUCAUUAUUUUACUGAUUGUAAUUGCAGCUUGAAUUUGUCUUCUCCAUUCUUUAACAUAAAUACAAAUGAUAAUAAUCAAUUGAUAAUAAUAAUGACCUAUUGCUGGAGGUGGACGGGCCUCCAGCUUAUUUUAGCGUAAAGGGAGAACUUAAUUUGGCUUUUAAAAGAUUCUUCUGAAACAAAACUCACCAAUGUUGAUUUCUGUGUGUGGAGGAGUGAAGAGCUGACUAAUGUCUGAGCCUGUCUUCAGUUUCAGGUCUCUAUUGUUGAGCAUAGACAUGAGGGUUAAGGGGAAGGCCUUAAGAGGAACCGAGAUAUCCUCCCAUUUACAUUACGCAGCUAAGAAUGACACCUCUCGCCCAUACGAUGAUUCUGCCACCGAUACUGAACAGAAGUUUGGCCUGGACUCAAUGUGUUUUACACUCAUACUUUACAAAGUCAAAUAUUGAUGAUGAUGUAAAUGGGGAGGAUUUAUUAUUGUCACCGCAGAGAGUAACAACA